AACGAACGCUGGCGGCAGGCUUAACACAUGCAAGUCGAGCGAGGACUUCGGUCCUAGCGGCGGACGGGUGAGUAACGCGUGGGAACGUGCCCUUCUCUCUGGAAUAGCCCUGGGAAACUG
This 120-nucleotide ribosomal RNA is filed under the name uncultured bacterium. RNAcentral describes it as "partial 16S ribosomal RNA". It matches the Rfam family "Bacterial small subunit ribosomal RNA", at positions 29 to 159 of the family's 1533-position model. The record is from RNAcentral.